AUUGAACGCUGGCGGCAGGCCUAACACAUGCAAGUCGAGCGGUAGAGAGGUGCUUGCAUCUCUUGAGAGCGGCGGACGGGCGAGUAAUGCCUAGGAAUCUGCCUAGUGGUGGGGGAUAACGUUCGGAAACGGACGCUAAUACCGCAUACGUCCUACGGGAGAAAGCAGGGGGACCUUCGGGCCUUGCGCUAUCAGAUGAGCCUAGGUCGGAUUAGCUAGUAGGUGAGGUAAUGGCUCACCUAGGCGACGAUCCGUAACUGGUCUGAGAGGAUGAUCAGUCACACUGGAACUGAGACACGGUCCAGACUCCUACGGAGGCAGCAGUGGGAAUAUUGGACAAUGGGCGCAAGCCUGAUCCAGCCAUGCCGCGUGUGUGAAGAAGGCCUUCGGUUGGUUAAGUACGUACUUACUACGCGAGGAGGAAGAGUAGUGUG
This 434-nucleotide ribosomal RNA is filed under the name uncultured bacterium. RNAcentral's name for it is "bacterial SSU rRNA". It matches the Rfam family "Bacterial small subunit ribosomal RNA", at positions 30 to 462 of the family's 1533-position model. The record is from RNAcentral.